This 82-nucleotide transfer RNA is filed under the name Dreissena polymorpha. It matches the Rfam family "tRNA". From Rfam's summary of the family: Transfer RNA (tRNA) molecules are approximately 80 nucleotides in length. Their secondary structure includes four short double-helical elements and three loops (D, anti-codon, and T loops). Further hydrogen bonds mediate the characteristic L-shaped molecular structure. tRNAs have two regions of fundamental functional importance: the anti-codon, which is responsible for specific mRNA codon recognition, and the 3' end, to which the tRNAs corresponding amino acid is attached (by aminoacyl-tRNA synthetases). tRNAs cope with the degeneracy of the genetic code in two manners: having more than one tRNA (with a specific anti-codon) for a particular amino acid; and 'wobble' base-pairing, i.e. permitting non-standard base-pairing at the 3rd anti-codon position. The record is from Rfam by way of RNAcentral. Lineage: Eukaryota; Metazoa; Mollusca; Bivalvia; Myida; Dreissenidae.
GUUGCCGUUUCCGAUUGGUUAAGGCGAUAGACUUGAAAUCUUUUAGAAUCUUCUCGCGCAGGUUCGAAUCCUGCCGACAACG